This 292-nucleotide ribosomal RNA is filed under the name uncultured bacterium. RNAcentral's name for it is "partial 16S ribosomal RNA". It matches the Rfam family "Bacterial small subunit ribosomal RNA", at positions 505 to 796 of the family's 1533-position model. The record is from RNAcentral.
GUGUCAGCAGCCGCGGUAAUACGUAGGGGGCAAGCGUUGUCCGGAAUUAUUGGGCGUAAAGCGCGCGCAGGCGGCUUACUAAGUCUGGUGUGAAAGCCCACGGCUCAACCGUGGAGGGCCAUUGGAAACUGGUAAGCUUGAGUGCAGGAGAGGAGAGCGGAAUUCCUGGUGUAGCGGUGAAAUGCGUAGAUAUCAGGAGGAACACCCGUGGCGAAGGCGGCUCUCUGGCCUGUAACUGACGCUGAGGCGCGAAAGCGUGGGGAGCAAACAGGAUUAGAAACCCCCGUAGUCC